Molecule: ribosomal RNA, 495 nt
Filed under: uncultured bacterium
Lineage: Bacteria
Description: partial 16S ribosomal RNA
Rfam family: Bacterial small subunit ribosomal RNA
Source: RNAcentral
GACGAACGCUGGCGGCGUGCCUAAUACAUGCAAGUAGAACGCUGAAGGAGGAGCUUGCUUCUCUGGAUGAGUUGCGAACGGGUGAGUAACGCGUAGGUAACCUGCCUGGUAGCGGGGGAUAACUAUUGGAAACGAUAGCUAAUACCGCAUAACAGUAGAUAUCGCAUGAUAUCUACUUGAAAGGUGCAAUUGCCUCACUACCAGAUGGACCUGCGUUGUAUUAGCUAGUUGGUGAGGUAACGGCUCACCAAGGCGACGAUACAUAGCCGACCUGAGAGGGUGAUCGGCCACACUGGGACUGAGACACGGCCCAGACUCCUACGGGAGGCAGCAGUAGGGAAUCGUCGGCAAUGGACGGAAGUCUGACCGAGCAACGCCGCGGGAGGGAAGAAGGGUUUCGGAUCGUAAAGCUCUGUUGUAAGAGAAGAACGAGUGUGAGAGUGGAAAGUUCACACUGUGACGGUAUCUUACCAGAAAGGGACGGCUAACUACGUG